This 576-nucleotide ribosomal RNA is filed under the name Hypomyces rosellus. RNAcentral describes it as "LSU rRNA". It matches the Rfam family "Eukaryotic large subunit ribosomal RNA", at positions 68 to 669 of the family's 3401-position model. Lineage: Eukaryota; Fungi; Ascomycota; Sordariomycetes; Hypocreales; Hypocreaceae. The record is from RNAcentral.
CCAACGCAUGAACAGCUGCGGCGAGUGAGCGGCAACAGCUCAAAUUUGAAAUCUGGCCCCUCGGGCCCGAGUUGUAAUUUGUAGAGGAUGCUUUUGGCAAGGUGCCGCCCGAGUUCCCUGGAACGGGACGCCGCAGAGGGUGAGAGCCCCGUCUGGCUGGCCACCGAGCCUCUGUAAAGCUCCUUCGACGAGUCGAGUAGUUUGGGAAUGCUGCUCAAAAUGGGAGGUAUAUGUCUUCUAAAGCUAAAUAUUGGCCAGAGACCGAUAGCGCACAAGUAGAGUGAUCGAAAGAUGAAAAGCACUUUGAAAAGAGGGUUAAACAGUACGUGAAAUUGUUGAAAGGGAAGCGCUCAUGACCAGACUUGGGCUUGGCGAAUCAUCCGGCGUUCUCGCCGGUGCACUUCGCCUCGCUCAGGCCAGCAUCAGUUCGCGCCGGGGGACAAAAGCUUCGGGAAUGUGGCUCCUCCGGGAGUGUUAUAGCCCGUUGCAUAAUACCCUGGUGCGGACUGAGGUUCGCGCAUCUGCAAGGAUGCUGGCGUAAUGGUCAUCAGCGACCCGUCUUGAACACCGGACCCA